GACGAACGCUGGCGGCGUGCUUAACACAUGCAAGUCGAACGGAAAGGCCCUGCUUGUGUGGGGUGCUUGACUGGCGAACGGGUGAGUAACACGUGAGUAACCUGCCCUGGACUUUGGGAUAACUUAAGGAAACUGGGGCUAAUAUCGGAUAGGAGCUCCUGCUGCAUGGUGGGGGUUGGAAAGCUUAGGCGGUUGGGGAUGGACUCGCGGCUUAUCAGCUUGUGGGUGGGGUACUGGCUUACCAAGGCUUGGACGAGUAGCCGGCCUGAGAGCGUGACCGGCCACAUUGGGACUGAGAUAGGGCCCAGACUCCUACGGGAGGCAGCGGGGGGGAAUCUUGCCCAAUGGGCGGAAGCCUGGUGCAACAACGCCGCGUGCGGGAUGACCGCCUUCGGGUUGUGAACCGGUUCCGCCUAUGACGAAGCGUGAGUGACGGUAAUGGGUAAAGAAGCACCGGCUAACUACGUG
Molecule: ribosomal RNA, 468 nt
Filed under: uncultured bacterium
Lineage: Bacteria
Description: partial 16S ribosomal RNA
Rfam family: Bacterial small subunit ribosomal RNA
Source: RNAcentral